Molecule: unclassified non-coding RNA, 300 nt
Filed under: uncultured fungus
Lineage: Eukaryota; Fungi
Description: sequence contains 5.8S rRNA gene, ITS2
Rfam family: 5.8S ribosomal RNA (bases 1-71)
Source: RNAcentral
GUGAAUCAUCGAAUCUUUGAACGCAUAUUGCACUCUCUGGUAUUCCGGGGAGUAUGCCUGUUUCAGCAUCAUCAGCACCAUCGACUCCAAAUUUCUUGGGAUCGGAUCUGGGCUUCUUUGCGGAGGAAUAUUUUCAGUAUUUCCCGCUGGCCUGAAAUCGAAUCGUGCGACGCGUUACCUCAGAUUUUGCCAAAUCUCGUACUUUGCAGAGCCUGUUGGACCUCUUCCCCAAAGGCGUCAUAGUUGGCUUUGCCAUCUUUCGCCGAUUUUGGGAGUGGUGCUCGCCGCGCGGAUCUUUUU